UAAACGCUCGUAGUUGGAUCACGCAGCAGUGCUCAGUAAUCUGCUGCCUGACUUCGACCAAUGAAACCCACUUCUGUGGCCUUUCGGUAGCUGUCGGCAGUAGAUGCCAACGCUGAGCACUGUUAGUUGCACGUGAGAUGAAUUGUUGGCCUUUAUUGAGCCGGUAUUCUCGUCUUGCGGAGUGUGCCUUGAAUAAAACAGAGUGCUUAAAGCAGGUCAUUGCCUGAAUGUUAUAGCAUGGAACGAACAAUCGUGUAUAUGUAUGCAUCCUUGAAUGGUGAUGAGCCUUAGGUUUGUUGUUACUCAGGAUGCAUACGGCACCCACCAAAAUAUGGCUGUUGGUUCCAUAUACGGUGAUGAUUAAAAGGAGCGGUUGGGGGCAUCGGUAUUUGGCCGCGAGAGGUGAAAUUCUUAGACCGGCCAAGGACUAACAAAUGCAAAGGCACUUGUCUAGACCGUUUCCAUUAAUCAAGAACGAAAGUGGUGAGGUUCGAAGACGAUCAUAUACCGUCCUAGUUCCCACUGUAAACUAUGCCGACCUGGGAUCAAUUUUAAUAGAUGUUACAAGCUCUAGAUUGAUCCCCCUUGGGAAACCUGAAGUUUUUCGGUUACCGUGAGAGUAUGGUCUCAAGGCUGAAACUUAAAGGAAAUGGUGAGGAAGGGCUCCACCAUAGGGUGGAGCCNGC
RNAcentral lists this ribosomal RNA (686 nucleotides) under Thelohanellus wuhanensis. Its description in RNAcentral is "bacterial SSU rRNA". It matches the Rfam family "Eukaryotic small subunit ribosomal RNA", at positions 621 to 1186 of the family's 1831-position model. Lineage: Eukaryota; Metazoa; Cnidaria; Myxozoa; Bivalvulida; Myxobolidae. The record is from RNAcentral.